GAAUUUUGGACAAUGGGCGAAAGCCUGCUCCAGCAAUUCUGCUUGCAGGAUGAAGGCCUUCGGGUUGUAAACUGCUUUUGUGCGGAACGAAAAGCUUUGGGUUAAUACCCUGGAGUCAUUACAGUACCGUAAGAAUUAACACCGGCUAACUCCGUGCAAGACGCCGCGGUAAUACGUAGGGUGCAAGCGUUAAUCGGAAUUACUGGGCGUAAAGCGUGCGCAGGCGGUUUUGUAAGACAGAGGUGAAAUCCCCGGGCUCAACCUGGGAACUGCCUUUGUGACUGCAAGGCUAGAGUACGGCAGAGGGGGGUGGAAUUCCGCGUGUAGCAGUGAAAUGCGUAGAUAUGCGGAGGAACACCGAUGGCGAAGGCAACCCCCUGGGCCUGUACUGACGCUCAUGCACGAAAGCGUGGGGAGCAAACA
RNAcentral lists this ribosomal RNA (423 nucleotides) under uncultured bacterium. Its description in RNAcentral is "partial 16S ribosomal RNA". It matches the Rfam family "Bacterial small subunit ribosomal RNA", at positions 359 to 774 of the family's 1533-position model. The record is from RNAcentral.